GGUUCCGCCCCAUAUCCGAGAGCCGCUCUCUAAUUGGCUUGGGAAACCGUAUCUCAGCGCUUUGGCCUAGCGACUUUGAACGUGUUUGCGCCUGAGACCGAAGUGCAGAAGAGGGCGAGCGCAGGAGGAGAGGCUUGGUGAAUCAGCGAUUCCUGAUUGGCCAGGCGUGCCUUGAGGGCGGGGCCAGAACUGCGUCCUUAACUGACCUCGCCCUUGCCCGGCUCACCGCCUCCGCGUUGCUCCGGGUUUACCCCGCCUGACUCGCUGCGCUAUGCGUUCCCUCACGCCUGCCGGAUGCCAGGCCGCGAUGUGCCAGGCUCUGAGGGGCCGCGAGCUCACCCCAGACGCCGGCCCCGGGAAUCCUCUGCUCCUCCACUUUCCCUUCCCGCUACUGGUUUCUUGCCCACCCACUCCCAGGUGUCACUCUUGGGACAUCCAGAUGUUCUGACAUUUGACCUGACUCCAGCCUCAGCGCGAGGACGGGAGAAGGGCCAAGGAACCCAAAUCCUCAGAGCUGAUCGAGAAGCGCGUGUUGUUGCAGCAGUCACUGAGGGGCAGACCUGGAAUGUGAGCCGUGGGGCGAAGGGACAGCUCUGGAGACUCGUGAUUCUGGAACCCGGAUGAUCCAGAACAGACAAUGAAGAGACAAAACAGCGUGAAAGGGAGCGGCGGUACCUAAACUGACCUCCGGAGGGCAGCAUGAUCGAGGGAAGGAGCUGUUCUCGCUCCGCUCAAACCCCCGCGCAGCCUCUGCAGCUUACUCCUGCUUCGGAAGGCGGCGAGGUUCCACCCCCACCACCCCGGCCCCCGCCGCCCUCUUCGCGCUGAAGCUGCGGAGGGUCUUUUUCUUCAGCCCCCAAAUCCUCUGCUCUGUGGCUUAAGAUUCCCAGGCUUAAACCCAUAACUGCUAGGGUCAUCACUCCUCAAACUUCUCCCUCACUUGUUUUGCUGAUGACGGACACAGGGGCCUCACAGACUCAGAAGCAUCUGGAAUCAUUUCGAAGGACAGAACUGUGGCAAUAUCCUCUUUCCCCCUUCUAAUCUCUGAGAACAGUGUCUGUAUAUGGCACGGGGGUCCCUAGUGUCAUAUAGAAGGACUCGGAGAUGUCCUCAUGGGCUGUAACGGCCCCCGGUGCUAUUCAGGGAUCUCUGUUCUUUAAAGAAAUAUCAUUUCCCCUUAUUUCUCUACCUUUGUGCCCUCACCUCGCCCUGAAUUGUUUCUUAAACUGGGCUUUCUGGGAAACGUUUACUUCGUGUUCAACAGCAAAGUCUCGGCAUAAGGCGAGGGCGGCAGGGGGUGGGGGGCGGGCGUUUGCUCGCCUUGGCAUUAAUUUCAGAGCUGCUGAACGUGGACAAAAGAGAGGGAACAUCCUCCUUUCUUCCAUUCCUGUAAAUAUGGACCCACCUACCCUCCACUUAAGAUGGGUGGCUUUUCUGAUUUUAAGAUAUCAAGCAGCCUGGCAAGGUGGCUGACACCUGGGAUCCCAGAACUUUGGGAAGCCGAGGCGGGAAGAUCCCUUAAGGCCAGGAGUUCUAGACCAGCCUGGCCAACAUGGCGAAAACCCAUCUCUACUAAAAAUACAAAAAUUAGCCUGGUGUGGUGGUGCCUGCCUAUAAUCCCAGCUACUAGGGUGGCUGAGUCAGGAGAGUCGCUUGAACCUGGGAGGCGGAGGUUGUAAUGAGCCGAGAUGGCCACUGCACUCCAGCCUGGGUGACAGUGAGACUCUGUCUCAAAAAUAAUAAUAAUAAUAAUAAUAAUAAUAAGAUAUAAAUUGGCUGGGCUUUAAAAUAAAGUAGUCAGAGGCCCAGGGUGGUGACUCAUGCCUGUAAUCCUUUUGGAAGGCAGAGGCCAGAGGAUCUUGAGCGCAGGAGUUUGAGACUAGCCUGGGCAACAUAGGGAGACCCAUCUCUACCAGAAAAAAAAAAAAAAAAAAAGCAAAAA
Long non-coding RNA from Pan troglodytes (chimpanzee), 1942 nucleotides. RefSeq lists it as uncharacterized. NCBI's taxonomy places the organism in Eukaryota, Metazoa, Chordata, Mammalia, Primates, Hominidae. The record is from RefSeq and is a predicted model, not a curated record. The transcript has 3 exons.